AGGUGGAAUUGACCGGUUUUGGAUAAUAAUUGAUUUGAUGUGGAAGAAUGAAGAAGAGAGAGGUGUCAAGUAUAACUCCAUGGUAUCUGGUCUUCUGUGUGGAUAGAUGGUGGUACUAGUAUCUCAGUAAACUAGAAAUUCUGAAAGAGGAACAUGUUUGGAAGGAGAAAAGAAUAAGCUCAGUUUUGGAUAUGUUAAGUUUGAGUCAUUUGUUUGCCAUACAAAAGGAAGACCAGGUCUGGAGCUCAGAAAAGAGGCCUAAAUUGGAUAGGUCGAUUUGAACUUUAUCAGCUUUCUAGGUGGUAACCAAAGCCCAUUGAAUGAGAUCACCUACACUGAGAUUGUGAAGUGAAAAGAGAAAAGGGCCCAAGGACCAAGCUAUGAGGAGCUUACAGAAGAGGAAGAACUCCCAAAAGAGAGUGAGAAGGACCUACCAGAAUGCUCUGUGAGGUAGGUGCUGCCACAUGAUAAACACGUUCACAGAGGAACUGAUUUACUGGAAGUCACACAGCAAGUUAAUAGCAGAAUUGGGAUGCCAAUUCUUCAGAUUCCAAGUCCAGUGCCUUUUCCACACCACCAUAGGAAACAGAUAUGGAAUCGGAGCUAUUGAGGGAUGAAGGGAUCUUCCCAAAGUCACGCAGCUAGUGAGGGGCUGAGCAAGAAUUCAAAUCCACACAGUCUGUUUUCAGAGUCUUUGGUCUUCACCACUAUGCUACUUUGGUGAGAAUGGUUAUUGAUUAUUUUUCAUCGACACAGCUCAGCCUCCUGGAAUUAAAGCGUGAAGAGUGAAUCUGGAGGGACAAACUGAAGAUAUCCAGCCAAGAUACAUUGCUUAGUUUUGCCUAAGUUUACAAAAGUGGAAUCAUACGCUCUGGAGGCUGGAAGUCCAAAAUCAAGAUGUUGGCAGAGUUGGUUCCUUCUAAAGACUUUGAAGAAGAAUCUGUUUCAUGCCUGUCUCCUAGCUUCUGAUGUCUGCAUUGGUGGGAUAAGCUUGGAGCGGCCUUAGAAUGAAGCCAACCUAGAGGAGAGUGAAACAGAGAUAAAGAGAAUCCUGAUAAUAUAAUUUAAUCACCUGGUUCCAGCUGACUCCGAAGCAAGAUCCAUCCCUGGACUUUACAGUAACAUGAGCUAACAAAUUCCCCUCCCAUCAUGACCUCUUCCUUUUUCUUUUUCUUGUGAUCAUUAAAAGUGGGUAUAUGUUACUCAUAAUCAAAAGAAUCCUGACAGAAUGCAAUAUCUGACACUUUUAUCACCUCUGCUCUGCGUUUUCAAAGCUCUGCAUCUUCUCUGGCCACCAGGGUCUCCAUGCCUGAGUCCCGACAGCUGAGCAGGAGUUAACCAGGUUAAACAAAG
Molecule: long non-coding RNA, 1353 nt
Filed under: Equus asinus (donkey)
Lineage: Eukaryota; Metazoa; Chordata; Mammalia; Perissodactyla; Equidae
Description: lncRNA (ENSEASG00005024867.1)
Source: RNAcentral